GACGAACGCUGGCGGCGUGCUUAACACAUGCAAGUCGAACGGAAAGGCCCUGCUUUUGUGGGGUGCUCGAGUGGCGAACGGGUGAGUAACACGUGAGUAACCUGCCCUUGACUUUGGGAUAACUUCAGGAAACUGGGGCUAAUACCGGAUAGGAGCUCCUGCUGCAUGGUGGGGGUUGGAAAGUUUCGGCGGUUGGGGAUGGACUCGCGGCUUAUCAGCUUGUUGGUGGGGUAGUGGCUUACCAAGGCUUUGACGGGUAGCCGGCCUGAGAGGGUGACCGGCCACAUUGGGACUGAGAUACGGCCCAGACCCCUACGGGAGGCAGCAGUGGGGAAUAUUGCACAAUGGGCGGAAGCCUGAUGCAGCAACGCCGCGUGCGGGAUGAUGGCCUUCGGGUUGUAAACCGCUUUCGCCUGUGACGAAGCGUGAGUGACGGUAAUGGGUAAAGAAGCACCGGCUAACUACGUG
This 468-nucleotide ribosomal RNA is filed under the name uncultured bacterium. RNAcentral's name for it is "partial 16S ribosomal RNA". It matches the Rfam family "Bacterial small subunit ribosomal RNA", at positions 28 to 507 of the family's 1533-position model. The record is from RNAcentral.